CCUGCUUCCUGGUAUUCAUGUUGUUGUGUAAAUCCCUCCACUUGAGUGUCGGCUGUACCUAGUGACUGACUUCCAAUGAACAAAAUACAGCAAAAGUGAUGGGAUGUCACUUUUGUAAGUAGGUUAUAAAAUAUUGUGACUAUUCUCUCUCUCUCAAAACCCUCACCCUGAUAAAUCUGGCUGCCAGGUUGUGAGUUGCCCUAUGAGGUGGGACACAUUGCAACAAACUAAGGGAGGCCUUUGGGCAACACCCAGUGAAGAACUGAGGCCUUGGUCCAAUGGCCCAUGAGAAUCCAAAUCCUGCCAACAACCAUGUGUGUAAACUUCGAAGUGGACCUUCUGAGGCCUGCCAACAGCUAUAUGAGCAAGCUUGCAAGCAAAUCCACCCCAGUUGAGCCUUGAGAUGCUACAGUCCCAGCUGACACCUUAAUGCUGCCGGUGAGAGCCGGAGCAGAGGACCCAGUUAGACUGUGCCCAAACUCCUGGCCCACAGAGACUGUGAGAUCGUAAAUAUGUGUUGUUUUAAGCUGAUAAGCUCUGGGGUGAUUGGUUAUGCAGUGAUAGACAACUAAUGCAAAAAGGUAUAAAGAAUAACCUGGUGAAUACUUGUGUAUGGCCCAUGUAGCAUGCAGCCUUAGAAAAAAACAAAUUACAAAGAUACUUAAAGCCCCUUCCUUGUAUUCUACCUUCAUCACUUUCCCCUCCUUCCUCUCCAGAUGCUCUCUGGAACCAGACUGAAAUUGAAAUGCAAGAUAUAUAUAUAUAUAUAUAUAUCACAGAAUCUCUGUCACUAAAUAUUCUCCCAGAGGCAAAGGAGCUGGGAUAUUUACACCCUGACUCUCAUCAUUAAGUGGAUGGCUCUUGGAGGGUAUUUGAACUCUCUCACACAUCUGGACUGCCAAGAACACAGACAUGAUGCUUGGAGCUAUAGCAGCCAUCUCGCAAUCAUGAGGAAAGGCCAAGAGAAUUUCUGAGUCACCAAACCCAGCACUGUUCAGCUGCUGAGCCAAUCCCUACAGCCUCCUAUCUCUAGACCUUGUGCUCUGCCCUUCCACCACCAUGUGAACAAGCCCGGACUAGCCUCCUGGAAGGCACAAGACCACAUGGAGAGAGGACCCAACAAUGCAGCUGCUGCAGCUGAGACGCCAGCCAUGGAGGUGAGGCCAUCCUAGACCUUCCAGCCCUGCUGAGUCAGCUCAGACCUGGCAGUCUGCCCAGCUGACCCACAGGAUCAUGAGAAAGAAUAAGUGUAUGUGUCUGUAAGUCACUAAGUUA
Molecule: long non-coding RNA, 1275 nt
Filed under: Homo sapiens (human)
Lineage: Eukaryota; Metazoa; Chordata; Mammalia; Primates; Hominidae
Description: HSALNT0280593
Source: RNAcentral